Molecule: non-coding RNA, 546 nt
Organism: Dipodomys spectabilis (banner-tailed kangaroo rat)
Lineage: Eukaryota; Metazoa; Chordata; Mammalia; Rodentia; Heteromyidae
Source: the annotation of a RefSeq genome assembly
AGGUCUUAUUCAUGAUUGAGGAGUUUCAAUACAAUCCUUCUAGAAAAGAGCUCUGUACGACUGGGUGUAUCACAAGAAGCAAGAAUCAUUUCCUUCUAACAACAUGCUUUCUGUCACCUGCUCAGUUCUUGUGAUCCUUUUAAUGUACAGGAGGAGCAGUGGAGACUCAGUGACCCAGACAGAAGGCUUGGUUACUUUCACAGAAGGGGCACCUCUGAUCCUCAACUGUACUUACCAGAGCACUUACUCAAUUGCCUUUAUUUUCUGGUAUGUACAAUAUCUCAAUAAAGCCCCUCAGCUACUCCUGAAGAGUUCAACACAAAGUCCGAGGUCAGAGAACCGGGGUUUCCAGGCAACACUUGUUAAGAGUGACAACAGCUUCCACCUGCAGAAAUCUUCACUCCAGCUGUCAGACUCAGCUGUGUACUACUGCGCUCUGGGAGACACAGUGAGAAAGCUGUAGGUUCAGCUGUUCACAAACCAGGGUGCUGAUAGGCACAGUCCUGGGAAGAGAAAACUCUCCCCAGGAAGAGUUGAUGUAGCUUC